This 8998-nucleotide long non-coding RNA is filed under the name Triticum aestivum (bread wheat). Its description in RNAcentral is "long non-coding RNA (TAES_LNC004091)". Lineage: Eukaryota; Viridiplantae; Streptophyta; Magnoliopsida; Poales; Poaceae. The record is from RNAcentral.
GGGAUACAAGAAGCAAUAAUGGAAGAUGAGUCAUUUGGUUCAAAAGGAAUAAAUCUACGAAGUGGAAGAAAAUGAGCAUGCCACUAAUCUUUUGUUCAUGCUAUGACUGGACACUUGAAUUUUUGUCGCUUGUCUGUCUAACGGGAUGUUCACAUCCCUUAUCAGUUAUUUUCCUAGGUUGCUGCCAAGAUCUUUAAUUUGCUAUUAAAUCUGGUCUCGCUUGCCCCACGUACUGCUAUCAACAUCAGAUGACAUCACAAGGUAUUCUAAUCUUCACCUGCUUACUGCUUAGCUCUUACUGCACACUAUAUAUUCUGGAUAAAUAUGAUUGAUACUUAUGGAAAAUUAUCCUUACAGUGUGCUUUAAACUGCAUCCUUGUCAUGAAAAAUUAACUACUACACUUGAUAUAUAUAGUCAUCGAUAAUCUAUUUGUGGUUCGGUGUUAGAUCAUUUUAGUAUGUAUAUAGGCAUUCAUAGUGCAAUCUGAUUCUCUUAUGUGCCACAUGUUCAUAUUUACGAUACUCCCUAAUGAGAGUUGCCGCUAAUUUUUCCUUCGACAGUACGUGUUAUCAUUUAGAUUAACAGAUUACCAAGUUGUCGGAUCUACUAUGUCCUAGGAAUUGCCCAUAUGAAAUUAUCAGAGGUUUUAUGCAAAAUAGGGUUCACUACCAAAUAGAUUAAUUCAAUCAACAGUACCAUGAAAAUAUUUACAAAUACAAAUUAGUACUGCUGUGUAGGAUGGUGAAGCCAUGGAACCUGAUUGAAGAUGGGAAGACUGAUUGAAGGUGGGAAGACGAUGCACGGAAAGCUUGAAGGAGAUGUGGAGCCUUAUUGAAGAUGACCAACUUCAGAUCCAAGGUCAACGUCUCCCAUCCAGUGCCUGUCACGGGGAUCACAGCCAGCCCUUUGCGAUCUGGGUGUAUAACAUGCGGGAAACAAAGUCUGUCUUUUAUAGGCAGUGAAAAGGGCGCGAGGUGAGACGCAAAAAGCAGAAUUGGCGCCAUCUGAGGUUGUUGAGGAAUAGGCGGGGGCGGAGAAAGGCAGUUGCAUCUGUAUAUGCUAAUCGCGUUUGUGGAAAAACGAGUAAUACUAGUUUUCCCACAAUCCCGGAAUUAUGGGUUUUUGGGAAACGAGUUUCCCCUAUCCACGGGGUUGUUGGAUGAGCCAAACAAGAUUUUUUACUGUUAGACAGUUUCCUUGGCUUACGUAGAUUGCGUUCUCUAUAUUCCUCUUAUCCAAACAACGCCUUAGAAUCAUCCGGAUCAGUGUCAAAACUUGCAUCGACGUAACCAUUUACGACGAGUUCUUUGUCACCUCCAUAAACGAGAAACAUAUCCUUAGUCCUUUUCAGGUAUUUUAGGAUGUUCUUGACCGUUGUCCAGUGAUCCACUCCUGGAUUAUUUUGGUACCUCCCUGCUAAACUAAUAGCAAGGCACACAUCAGGUCUGGUACACAACAUUGUGUUGGGGAACGUAGUAAUUUCAAAAAAAUUCCUACGAACACGCAAGAUCAUGGUGAUGCAUAGCAACGAGAGGGGAGAGUGUAGUCCACGUACCCUCGUAGACCGAAAGCGGAAGCGUUAACACAACGCGGUUGAUGUAGUCGUACGUCUUCACGAUCCGACCGAUCAAGUACCGAACGCACGGCACCUCCGAGUUCAGCACACGUUCAGCUCGAUGACGUCCCUCGAACUCCGAUCCAGCCGAGUGUUGAGGGAGAGUUUCGUCAGCACGACGGCGUGGUGACAAUGAUGAUGUUCUACCGACGCAGGGCUUCGCCUAAGCACCGCUACGAUAUUAUCGAGGUGUAAUAUGGUGGAGGGGGGCACCGCACACGGCUAAGAGAUCAAUGAUCAAUUGUUGUGUCUAUGGGGUGCCCCCUGCCCCCGUAUAUAAAGGAGCAAGGGGGGAGGCCGCCGGCCUAGGAGGAGGGGCGCGCCAAGGGGGGAGUCCUACUCCCACCGGGAGUAGGACUCCUCCUUUCCUUGUUGGAGUAGGAAAAGGGAAGGGAGAAGGAGAAAGAAGGAAGGGGGCGCCCUCCCUCCCUAGUCCAAUUCGGACUAGUCCAUGGGGAGGGGUGCGGCCACCCUUUGGGGCCUUUCUCUCCUUUCCCGUAUGGCCCAUUAAGGCCCAAUACGAAUUCCCGUAACUCUCUGGUACUCCGAAAAAUACCCGAAUCACUCGGAACCUUUCCGAUGUCCGAAUAUAGUCGUCCAAUAUAUCGAUCUUUACGUCUCGACCAUUUCGAGACUCCUCGUCAAGUCCCUGAUCUCAUCCGGGACUCCAAACUCCUUCGGUACAUCAAAACAUAUAAACUCAUAAUAUAACUGUCAUCGUAACGUUAAGCGUGCGGACCCUUCGGGUUCGAGAACUAUGUAGACAUGACCGAGACACCUCUCCGGUCAAUAACCAAUAGCGGAACCUGGAUGCUCAUAUUGGCUCCCACAUAUUCUACGAAGAUCUUUAUCGGUCAAACCGCAUAACAACAUACGUUGUUCCCUUUGUCAUCGGUAUGUUACUUGCCCGAGAUUCGAUCGUCGGUAUCUCAAUACCUAGUUCAAUCUCGUUACCGGCAAGUCUCUUUACUCGUUCUGUAAUACAUCAUCCCACAACUAACUCAUUAGUUAUAAUGCUUGCAAGGCUUAUAGUGAUGUGCAUUACUGACUGGGCCCAGAGAUACCUCUCCGACAAUCGGAGUGACAAAUCCUAAUCUCGAAAUACGCCAACCCAACAAGUACCUUUUGGAGACACCUGUAGAGCACCUUUAUAAUCACCCAGUUAUGUUGUGACGUUUGGUAGCACACAAAGUGUUCCUCCGGUAAACGGGAGUUGCAUAAUCUCAUAGUCAUAGGAACAUGUAUAAGUCAUGAAGAAAGCAAUAGCAACAUACUAAACGAUCGAGUGCUAAGCUAAUGGAAUGGGUCAAGUCAAUCACAUCAUUCUCCUAAUGAUGUGAUCCCGUUAAUCAAAUGACAACUCAUGUCUAUGACUAGGAAACAUAACCAUCUUUGAUCAACGAGCUAGUCAAGUAGAGGCAUACUAGUGACACUCUGUUUGUCUAUGUAUUCACACAAGUAUUAUGUUUCCGGUUAAUACAAUUCUAGCAUGAAUAAUAAACAUUUAUCAUGAUAUAAGGAAAUAAAUAAUAACUUUAUUAUUGCCUCUAGGGCAUAUUUCCUUCAGUCUCCCACUUGCACUAGAGUCAAUAAUCUAGUUCACAUCGCCAUGUGAUUUAACAUCAAUAAUUCACAUCACCAUGUGAUUAACACCCAUAGUUCACAUGGUCAUGUGACCAACACCCAAAGGGUUUACUAGAGUCAAUAAUCUAGUUCACAUCGCUAUGUGAUUAACACCCAAAGAGUACUAAGGUGUGAUCAUGUUUUGAUUGUGAGAUAAUUUUAGUCAACGGGUCUGUCACAUUCAGAUCCGUAAGUAUUUUGCAAAUUUCUAUGUCUACAAUGCUCUGCACGGAGCUACUCUAGCUAAUUGCUCCCUCUUUCAAUAUGUAUCUAGACCGAGACUUAGAGUCAUCUAGAUUAGUGUCAAAACUUGCAUCGACAUAACCCUUUACGACGAACCUUUUGUCACUUCCAUAUUCAAGAAACAUAUCCUUAUUCCAGUAAGGAUAAUUUUGACCGCUGUCCAGUGAUCUACUCCUAGAUCACUAUUGUACUCCCUUGCCAAAAUCAGUGUAGGGUAUACAAUAGAUGUGGUGCACAGCAUGGCAUACUUUAUAGAACCUAUGGCCGAGGCAUAGGGAAUGACUUUCAUUCUCUUUCUAUCUUCUGCCGUGGUCGGGCUUUGAGUCUUACUCAAUUUCACACCUUGUAAUACAGGUAAGAACUCUUUCUUUGACUGUUCCAUUUUGAACUACUUCAAAAUCUUGUCAAGGUAUGUACUCAUUGAAAAAACGUAUCAAGCGUUUUGAUCUAUCUCUAUAGAUCUUGAUGCUCAAUAUGUAAGCAGCUUCACCGAGGUCUUUCUUUGAAAAACUCCUUUCAAACACUCCUUUAUGCUUUGCAGAAUAAUUCUACAUUAUUUCCGAUCAACAAUAUGUCAUUCACAUAUACUUAUCAGAAAUGUUGUAGUGCUCCCACUCACUUUCUUGUAAAUACAGGCUUCACCGCAAGUCUGUAUAAAACUAUAUCCUUUGAUCAACUUAUCAAAGCGUAUAUUCCAACUCCGAGAUACUUGCACCAGUCCAUAGAUGAAUCGCUGGAGCUUGUAUAUUUUGUUAGCACCUUUAGGAUUGACAAAACCUUCUGAUUGCAUCAUAUACAACUCUUCUUUAAUAAAUCCAUUAAGGAAUGCAGUUUUGUUUAUCCAUUUGCCAGAUUUCAUAAAAUGCGGCAAUUGCUAACAUGAUUCGGACAGACUUAAGCAUAGAUACGAGUGAGAAACUCUCAUCGUAGUCAACACUUUAAACUUGUCGAAAACCUUUUGCGACAAUUCUAGCUUUGUAGAUAGUAACACUACUAUCAGCGUCCGUCUUCCUCUUGAAGAUCCAUUUAAUCUCAAUGGCUCGCCGAUCAUUGGGCAAGUCAAUCAAAGUCCAUACUUUGUUCUCAUACAUGGAUCUCAUCUCAGAUUUCAUGGCCUCAAGCCAUUUUGCGGAAUCUGAGCUCACCAUCGCUUCUUCAUAGUUCGUAGGUUCGUCAUGGUCUAGUAACAUAACCUCCAGAACAGGAUUACCGUACCACUCUGGUGCGGAUCUUACUCUGCUUGACCUACGAGGUUCAGUAAUAACUUGAUCUGAAGUUCCAUGAUCAUCAUCAUUAACUUCCUCACUAAUUGGUAUAGGCAUCACAGAAACUGGUUUCUGCAAUGAACUACUUUCCAAUAAGGGAGCAGGUACAAUUACCUCAUCAAGUUCUACUUUCCUCCCACUCACUUCUUUCGAGAGAAACUCCUCCUCUAGAAAGGAUCCAUACUUAGCAACGAAUGUCUUGCCUUCGGAUCUGUGAUAGAAGGUGUACCCAACUGUCUCCUUUGGGUAUCCUAUGAAGACACAUUUCUCCGAUUUGGGUUUGAGCUUAUCAGGAUGAAACUUUUUCACAUAAGCAUCGCAACCCCAAACUUUAAGAAACGACAACUUUGGUUUCUUGCCAAACCACAGUUCAUAAGAUGUCGUCUCAACGGAUUUAGGUGGUACCCUAUUUAACGUGAAUGUAGCUAUCUCUAAUGCAUAACCCCAAAACGAUAGUGGUAAAUCAGUAAGAGACAUCAUAGAUCGCACCAUAUCUAGUAAAGUACGAUUACGACGUUCGGACACACCAUUACGCUGUGGUGUUCCGGGUGGCAUGAGUUGCGAAACUAUUCCGCAUUGUUUCAAAUGAAGACCAAACUCAUAACUCAAAUAUUCUCCCCCACGAUCAGAUCGUAGAAAUUUUAUUAUCUUGUUACGAUGAUUUUCAACUUCACUCUGAAAUUCUUUGAACUUUUCAAAUGUUUCAGACUUAUGUUUCAUUAAGUAGAUAUACCCAUAUCUGCUCAAAUCAUCUGUGAAGGUGAGAAAAUAACGAUAUCCGCCACGAGCCUCAAUAUUCAUCAGACCACAUACAUCUGUAUGUAUGAUUUCCAACAAAUCUGUUGCUCUCUCCAUAGUUCCGGAGAACGGCGUUUUAGUCAUCUUGCCCAUGAGGCAUGGUUCGCAAGCAUCAAGUGAUUCAUAAUCAAGUGAUUCCGAAAUCCCAUCAGUAUGGAGUUUCUUCAUGCGCUUUACACCAAUAUGACCUAAACGGCAGUGCCACAAAUAAGUUGCACUAUUAUUAACUUUGCAUCUUUUGGCUUCAUUAUUAUGAAUAUGUGUAUCACUACGAUCGAGAUCCAACAAACCAUUUUAUUGGGUGUAUGACCAUAGAAGGUUUUAUUCAUGUAAACAGAACAACAAUUAUUCUCUAAUUUAAAUGAAUAACCGUAUUGCAACAAACAUGAUCAAAUCAUAUUCAUGCUCAACGCAAACACCAAAUAACACUUAUUUAGUUUUAACACUAAUCCCGAAAGUAUAGGGAGUGUGCGAUGAUGAUCGUAUCAAUCUUGGAACUACUUCCAACACACAUCGUCACCUCGCCUUUUACUAGUCUCUGUUUAUUCUGCAACUCCCGUUUCGAGUUACUACUCUUAGCAACUGAACCAGUAUCAAAUACCGAGGGGUUUCUAUAAACACUAGUAAAGUACACAUCAAUAACAUGUAUAUCCAAUAUACCUUUGUUCACUUUGCCAUCCUUCUUAUCCACCAAAUAGUUGGGGUAGUUCCGCUUCCAGUGACCAGUCCCUUUGCAGUAGAAGCACUUAGUCUCAGGCUUAGGAUCAGACUUAGGCUUCUUCACUUGAGCAGCAACUUGCUUGCUGUUCUUCUUGAAGUUCCCCUUCUUCCCUUUGCCCUUUUCUUGAAACUAGUGGUCUCGUCAACCAUCAACACUUGAUGUUUUUCUUGAUUUCUACCUUCGUCGAUUUCAGCAUCACGAAGAGCUCGGGAAUUACUUUCGUCAUCCCUUGCAUACUAUAGUUCAUCACGAAGUUCUACUAACUUGGUGAUGGUGACUAGAGAAUUCUGUCAAUCACUAUUUUAUCUGGAAGAUUAACUCCCACUUGAUUCAAGCGAUUGUAGCACCCAGACAAUCUGAGCACAUGCUCACUGCUUGAGCUAUUCUCCUCCAUCUUUUAGCUAUAGAACUUGUUGGAGACUUCAUAUCUCUCAACUCGGGUAUUUUCUUGAAAUAUUAACUUCAACUCCUGGAACAUCUCAUAUGGUCCAUGACGUUCAAAACGUCUUUGAAGUCCCAAUUCUAAGCCGUUAAGGAUGGUGCACUAAACUAUCAAGUAGUCAUCAUACUGAGCUAGCCAAACGUUCAUAACGUCUGCAUCUGCUCCUGUAAUAGGUCUGUCACCUAGCGGUGCAUCAAGGACAUACUUAUUCUGUGCAGCAAUGAGGAUAAUCCUCAGAUCACGGAUCCAAUCCGCAUCAUUGCUACUAACAUCUUUCAACAUAAUUUUUCUCUAGGAACAUAUCAAAAUAAACAUAGGGAAGCAACAACGCUAGCUAUUGAUCUAGAACAUAAUUUGCAAAAAUACUAUCAGGACUAUGUUCAUGAUAAAUUCAAGUUCAAUUAAUCAUAUUACUUAAGAACUCCCACUUAGAUAGACAUCCCUUUAAUCCUCUAAGUGAUCAAGUGAUCCAUAUCAACUAAACCAUGUCCGAUCAUCACAUGAGAUGGAGUAGUUUCAAUGGUGAACAUCACUAUGUUGAUCAUAUCUACUAUAUGAUUCACGCUUGACCUUUCGGUCUCCGUGUUCCGAGGCCAUAUCUGCAUAUUCUAGGCUCGUCAAGUUUAACCUGAGUAUUCCGCGUGUGCAACUGUUUUGCACCCGUUGUAUUUGAACGUAGAGCCUAUCACACCCGAUCAUCACGUGGUGUCUCAGCACGAAGAACUUUUGCAACGGUGCAUACUCAGGGAGAACACUUAUACUUUGAUAAUUUAGUGAGGGAUCAUCUUAUAAUGCUACCGUCAAUCAAAGCAAGAUAAGAUGCAUAAAAGAUAAACAUCACAUGCAAUCAAUAUAAGUGAUAUGAUAUGGCCAUCAUCAUCUUGUGCUUGUGAUCUCCGUCUCCGAAGCACCAUCAUGAUCACCAUCGUCACCGGCGCGACACUUUGAUCUUCAUCGUAGCAUCGUUGUCGUCUCGCCAAUCUUAUGCUUCUACGACUAUCGCUAUCGCUUAGUGAUAAAGUAAAGCAUUACAGGGCGAUUGCAUUGCAUACAAUAAAGCGACAACCAUAUGGCUCCCGCCAGUUGCCGAUAACUUGGUUACAAAACAUGAUCAUCUCAUACAAUAAAUUUAGCAUCAUGCUUUGACCAUAUCACAUCACAACAUGCCCUGCAAAAACAAGUUAGACGUCCUCUACUUUGUUGUUGCAAGUUUUACGUGGCUGCUACGGGCUUAGCAAGAACCGUUCUUACCUACGCAUCAAAACCACAAUGAUAGUUUGUCAAGUUGGUGCUGUUUUAACCUUCGCAAGGACCGGGCGUAGUCACACUCGGUUCAACUAAAGUGAGAGAGACAGACACCCGCCAGUCACCUUUAAGCAUCGAGUGCUUGCAACGGUGAAACCAGUCUCGCGUAAGCGUACGCAUAAUGUCGGUCCGGGCCGCUUCAUCUCACAAUACCGCUGAACCAAAAUAUGACAUGCUGGUAAGCAGUAUGACUUAUAUCGCCCACAACUCACUUGUGUUCUACUCGUGCAUAUAACACCUACGCAUAAAACCAGGCUCGGAUGCCACUGUUGGGGAACGUAGUAAUUUCAAAAAAUUUCCUACGCACACGCAAGAUCAUGGUGAUGCAUAGCAACGAGAGGGGACAGUGUAGUCCAUGUACCCUCGUAGACCGAAAGCGGAAGCGUUAACACAACGCGGUUGAUGUAGUCGUACGUCUUCACGAUCCGACCGAUCAAGUACCGAACGCACGGCACCUCCGAGUUCAGCACAUGUUCAGCUCGAUGACGUCCCUCGAACUCCGAUCCAGCCGAGUGUUGAGGGAGAGUUUCGUCAGCACGACGGCGUGGUGACAAUGAUGAUGUUCUACCGACGCAGGAUCUAGUAUGUCCUAGGAAUUGCCCAUAUGAAAUUAUCAGAGGUUUUAUGCAAAAUAGGGUUCACUACCAAAUAGAUUAAUUCAAUCAACAGUACCAUGAAAAUAUUUACAAAUACAAAUUAGUACUGCUGUGUAGGAUGGUGAAGCCAUGGAACCUGAUUGAAGAUGGGAAGACUGAUUGAAGGUGGGAAGGCGAUGCACGGAAAGCCUGAAGGAGAUGUGGAGCCUUAUUGAAGAUGACCAACUUCAGAUCCAAGGUCAACGUCUCCCAUCCAAUGCUUGUCACGGGGAUCACAGCCAGCCCUUUGCGAUCUGGGUGUAUAACAUGCGGGAAACAAAGUCUGUCUUUUAUAGGCAGUGAAAAGGGCGUGAGGUGAGACGCAAAAAGCAGAAUUGGCGCCAUCUGAG